CAGCUCAGCAUGGCUAGGGCACUGGGAGCACCCAUUGCACUGGGGUUGUGGAGCCUGUGCUGGUCUCUGGCCAUUGCCACCCCUCUUCCUCCGUGAGUAAAGCUGGGACUAGAAGUGAAGGAUUGAGUUCUGGGCUAGGGACUAGUGCCCAUGGGAAUGUUGCUGAAGGCGAGACCAAGCCAGACCCAGAUGUGACUGAACGCUGCUCAGAUGGCUGGAGCUUUGAUGCUACCACCCUGGAUGACAAUGGAACCAUGCUGUUUUUUAAAGGGGAGUUUGUGUGGAAGAGUCACAAAUGGGACCGGGAGUUAAUCUCAGAGAGAUGGAAGAAUUUCCCCAGCCCUGUGGAUGCUGCAUUCCGUCAAGGUCACAACAGCGUCUUUCUGAUCAAGGGGGACAAAGUCUGGGUAUACCCUCCUGAAA
Molecule: small RNA, 423 nt
Filed under: Pongo abelii (Sumatran orangutan)
Lineage: Eukaryota; Metazoa; Chordata; Mammalia; Primates; Hominidae
Description: retained intron
Source: RNAcentral